RNAcentral lists this ribosomal RNA (971 nucleotides) under Meloidogyne incognita (southern root-knot nematode). Its description in RNAcentral is "eukaryotic LSU rRNA". It matches the Rfam family "Eukaryotic large subunit ribosomal RNA", at positions 80 to 911 of the family's 3401-position model. Lineage: Eukaryota; Metazoa; Nematoda; Chromadorea; Rhabditida; Meloidogynidae. The record is from RNAcentral.
CCAGUAACGGCGAGUGAAAAGGGAAAAGUCCAUCGCUAAAUCGUUUUGCCUCAGGCAUUAUGAGGUGUAGCGUAUAAGUCGUAAACUUUGAUCUUUUGUCUCAAACAAGUCCCCUUGACAGAGGUUCCACAGAAGGUGCAAGUCCUGUACGUUGAGAUAAUUGAUCGAUAUUUGCGUGCUUUAGAGUCGGGUUGUUUGGGAUCGCAGCCCAAAGUCGGUGGUAAACUUCAUCUAAGACUUAAUAUUGCCACGAGACCGAUAGCAAACAAGUACUGUGAAGGAAAGUUGCAAAGCACUUUGAAGAGAGAGUUAAAGAGGACGUGAAACCGGUAAGGUGGAAACGGAUAGAGUCGGCGUAUCAUUCAAUUAUUCAGUUACAUUAUUUUUAUGUUGUGACCUCUGAGCUCCAGAUUGGGACAGAGGGAAUCAGCAUAAUUUUUUGUGGUGCAUUUACUUGAUUGGUGCUUGGGGAUGUUUGAGGCAGAUUUGUUUCCGUCGUUUUGAGGCCAGCUUGCUGGUACCCAAACGGUGUUAGCAUUUUUUGUCUUGGGCAUUUGAGUAUGGCUCACGUGUAUUUAUUGGACAGAUCUGAGUGUAAGUUACGGUCGCAUGCGACACGUGCUUUUCAAUUAGUUCGGUCCAGUUAAUGCUCUCGUACUCGUUCCCCAUGUAAAAGCCGGUCAUCUAUCCGACCCGUCUUGAAACACGGACCAAGGAGUUUAUCGUGUGCGCAAGUUUUUGGGUGUUAAAAACUUAAAAGCGAAAUGAAAGUAAAUGACUCUUUAGAGUCUGAUGUGCGAUCUUGUAAAAAAGUGCAGCAUGGCCCCAUUCUAACUGUUUACAGUAGGGUGGCGGAAGAGCGUACGCGGUGAGACCCGAAAGAUGGUGAACUAUUCCUGAGCAGGACGAAGCCAGAGGAAACUCUGGUGGAAGUCCGAAGCGGUUCUGACGUGCAAAUCGAUCGUCUGACU